Molecule: ribosomal RNA, 1358 nt
Filed under: uncultured bacterium
Lineage: Bacteria
Description: bacterial SSU rRNA
Rfam family: Bacterial small subunit ribosomal RNA
Source: RNAcentral
GAUGAACGCUAGCUACAGGCUUAACACAUGCAAGUCGAGGGGCAGCAUGGUCUUAGCUUGCUAAGGCCGAUGGCGACCGGCGCACGGGUGAGUAACACGUAUCCAACCUGCCGUCUACUCUUGGACAGCCUUCUGAAAGGAAGAUUAAUACAAGAUGGCAUCAUGAGUCCGCAUGUUCACAUGAUUAAAGGUAUUCCGGUAGACGAUGGGGAUGCGUUCCAUUAGAUAGUAGGCGGGGUAACGGCCCACCUAGUCUUCGAUGGAUAGGGGUUCUGAGAGGAAGGUCCCCCACAUUGGAACUGAGACACGGUCCAAACUCCUACGGGAGGCAGCAGUGAGGAAUAUUGGUCAAUGGGCGAGAGCCUGAACCAGCCAAGUAGCGUGAAGGAUGACUGCCCUAUGGGUUGUAAACUUCUUUUAUAAAGGAAUAAAGUCGGGUAUGCAUACCCGUUUGCAUGUACUUUAUGAAUAAGGAUCGGCUAACUCCGUGCCAGCAGCCGCGGUAAUACGGAGGAUCCGAGCGUUAUCCGGAUUUAUUGGGUUUAAAGGGAGCGUAGAUGGAUGUUUAAGUCAGUUGUGAAAGUUUGCGGCUCAACCGUAAAAUUGCAGUUGAUACUGGAUAUCUUGAGUGCAGUUGAGGCAGGCGGAAUUCGUGGUGUAGCGGUGAAAUGCUUAGAUAUCACGAAGAACUCCGAUUGCGAAGGCAGCCUGCUAAGCUGCAACUGACAUUGAGGCUCGAAAGUGUGGGUAUCAAACAGGAUUAGAUACCCUGGUAGUCCACACGGUAAACGAUGAAUACUCGCUGUUUGCGAUAUACAGCAAGCGGCCAAGCGAAAGCGUUAAGUAUUCCACCUGGGGAGUACGCCGGCAACGGUGAAACUCAAAGGAAUUGACGGGGGCCCGCACAAGCGGAGGAACAUGUGAUUUAAUUCGAUGAUACGCGAGGAACCUUACCCGGGCUUAAAUUGCAGAUGAAUUACGGUGAAAGCCGUAAGCCGCAAGGCAUCUGUGAAGGUGCUGCAUGGUUGUCGUCAGCUCGUGCCGUGAGGUGUCGGCUUAAGUGCCAUAACGAGCGCAACCCUUGUUGUCAGUUACUAACAGGUUCCGCUGAGGACUCUGACAAGACUGCCAUCGUAAGAUGUGAGGAAGGUGGGGAUGACGUCAAAUCAGCACGGCCCUUACGUCCGGGGCUACACACGUGUUACAAUGGGGGGUACAGAGGGCCGCUACCACGCGAGUGGAUGCCAAUCCCCAAAACCUCUCUCAGUUCGGACUGGAGUCUGCAACCCGACUCCACGAAGCUGGAUUCGCUAGUAAUCGCGCAUCAGCCACGGCGCGGUGAAUACGUUCCCGGGCCU